UACGGGGGGUGCAAGCGUUGUUCGGAAUCAUUGGGCGUAAAGCGCGCGUAGGCGGCCAGAUAAGUCGGGCGUGAAAGCCCUCGGCUCAACCGAGGAACUGCGUUCGAUACUGUUUGGCUUGAGUCCUGGAGAGGGUGGCGGAAUUCCGGGUGUAGGAGUGAAAUCCGUAGAUAUCCGGAGGAACACCGGUGGCGAAGGCGGCCACCUGGACAGGUACUGACGCUGAGGUGCGAAAGCGUGGGGAGCAAACAGG
RNAcentral lists this ribosomal RNA (253 nucleotides) under uncultured prokaryote. RNAcentral's name for it is "partial 16S ribosomal RNA". It matches the Rfam family "Bacterial small subunit ribosomal RNA", at positions 524 to 776 of the family's 1533-position model. The record is from RNAcentral.